ACCAAUCUUUCUUCAUUUAAUCUUCAUUUAAUGUUAAAGACAAGAUUCUCAUACUUGUCUCAUUUCACGUGUCUUGAGCAUCCACUUUCAAAUAUCAAUCUUGCUUGGUGGAUGUCAAGUACACCUGCAAAAAAAUAAUUAAUUUUUGGAUCUAGGUACCCAAUUCAGAUUGGGUCCUGGGGGGUCAGUCUUAAACACAGAUUCUUUUGCUAUCCAAACUUGCUUC
RNAcentral lists this long non-coding RNA (226 nucleotides) under Cicer arietinum (chickpea). RNAcentral describes it as "long non-coding RNA (CARI_LNC002949)". Lineage: Eukaryota; Viridiplantae; Streptophyta; Magnoliopsida; Fabales; Fabaceae. The record is from RNAcentral.